CCUACGGGAUGCUGCAGUGGGGAAUAUUGGACAAUGGGGGGAACCCUGAUCCAGCGACGCCGCGUGAGUGAAGAAGUAUUUCGGUAUGUAAAGCUCUAUCAGCAGGGAAGAAAGAAAUGACGGUACCUGACUAAUAAGCCACGGCUAACUACGUGCCAGCAGCCGCGGUAAUACGUAGGGGGCAAGCGUUAUCCGGAUUUACUGGGUGUAAAGGGAGCGUAGACGGCGAUGCAAGUCUGAAGUGAAAGGCGGGGGCUCAACCCCCGGCCUGCUUUGGAAACUGUAUGGCUGGAGUGCAGGAGAGGUAAGUGGAAUUCCGAGUGUAGCGGUGAAAUGCGUAGAUAUUAGGAGGAACACCAGUGGCGAAGGCGGCUUGCUGGACUGUAACUGACGUUGAGGCUCGAAAGCGUGGGGAGCAAACAGGAUUAGAUACCCGGGUAGUC
This 443-nucleotide ribosomal RNA is filed under the name uncultured bacterium. Its description in RNAcentral is "partial 16S ribosomal RNA". It matches the Rfam family "Bacterial small subunit ribosomal RNA", at positions 338 to 795 of the family's 1533-position model. The record is from RNAcentral.